AGCGGCGGACGGGUGAGUAACACGUGGGCAACCUGCCUGUAAGACUGGGAUAACUUCGGGAAACCGGAGCUAAUACCGGAUAGUAUUUCCUUUCUCCUGAUUGGAAAUGGAAAGACGGUUUCGGCUGUCACUUACAGAUGGGCCCGCGGUGCAUUAGCUAGUUGGUGGGGUAAUGGCCCACCAAGGCGACGAUGCAUAGCCGACCUGAGAGGGUGAUCGGCCACACUGGGACUGAGACACGGCCCAGACUCCUACGGGAGGCAGCAGUAGGGAAUCUUCCGCAAUGGACGAAAGUCUGACGGAGCAACGCCGCGUGAGCGAUGAAGGCCUUCGGGUCGUAAAGCUCUGUUGUUAGGGAAGAACAAGUACGAGAGUAACUGCUCGUACCUUGACGGUACCUAACCAGAAAGCCCCGGCUAACUACGUGCCAGCAGCCGCGGUAAUACGUAGGGGGCAAGCGUUGUCCGGAAUUAUUGGGCGUAAAGGGCUCGUAGGCGGUUUCUUAAGUCUGAUGUGAAAGCCCACAGCUCAACUGUGGAGGGUCAUUGGAAACUGGGGAACUUGAGUGCAGAAGAGGAGAGUGGAAUUCCACGUGUAGCGGUGAAAUGCGUAGAUAUGUGGAGGAACACCAGUGGCGAAGGCGACUCUCUGGUCUGUAACUGACGCUGAGGAGCGAAAGCGUGGGGAGCAAACAGG
RNAcentral lists this ribosomal RNA (696 nucleotides) under Terribacillus sp. RNAcentral describes it as "bacterial SSU rRNA". It matches the Rfam family "Bacterial small subunit ribosomal RNA", at positions 94 to 776 of the family's 1533-position model. Lineage: Bacteria; Bacillati; Bacillota; Bacilli; Caryophanales; Bacillaceae. The record is from RNAcentral.